This 651-nucleotide long non-coding RNA is filed under the name Calidris pugnax (ruff). RNAcentral describes it as "lncRNA (ENSCPUG00000004013.1)". The record is from RNAcentral. Lineage: Eukaryota; Metazoa; Chordata; Aves; Charadriiformes; Scolopacidae.
UCCCUUGUCUACACUGGUCAGAGUCUUAUAGGUGUGGUCUGGUCCUCGUUCAGUACAGGGAAGUUAAUUGGGUCGUCUUUGCUCUGGAACAGGCCCUCGUCAAGGCUGUCAACGCCAUCAUUAUUACAGAAUAUCUGCAGGCCCUCCUGACCACUUCCAGGAAACCAUCUUCCGUGCAGAGGAGGAGGAUUGUCAGCAAGAUAGCAGAAGAUCAUAGAAUGCUGCAAACCGUCUUUAAAGAGUGCUUAGGUCCUGCGGCUGGUCCCCUCAAGGAUCCUCUCAAAGCAAUUUUAGAACUUAUUCAAACUUCUGAUGCUGAGGGAAUGAAAAUAGCCCUUCUGCCCAUUCUCAAAGAAUUUCCUGAUCUGAGGAAGGAACAUCUGAGUGCGGUGCUGGACAUCAAAGACUCGCUCAGCCGAGAAGACCGAGCUGCUCUCUUGAAGGCAUUUCACGAUAAUUACAGGGAAUCAGAAACAGAAGCAAACUUGCUUUUUGCAGAUAUAGAAGUAAAACCUAGAAAAUACGGACUCUGUGGCUGCCUCUGCUGUUAGCAAAGGUAAGUGUGUGCAUGAGUGUGCUUGUGUGUAACACGCAUACCUGCACAGGUGCGGGCAUAGAAUCAUAGAAUGGUUUGGGUUGGAAGGGUCCUCA